Molecule: long non-coding RNA, 179 nt
Organism: Perca fluviatilis (European perch)
Lineage: Eukaryota; Metazoa; Chordata; Actinopteri; Perciformes; Percidae
Exons: 3
Source: RefSeq, a predicted model, not a curated record
AGCAUCUUCAACACCUAAGAGAAGAAUGCAAGAUGUUGAAUCUGACAGUGAUGACCCUAAAACCGGAACCUCAAGCUCCAACAGAGAACAGCAGCCCUUUGAUGAUCCUGGCAGUGUUGAACCUGCUACCACAGGACCCUCAACAUCAAAAAUAAGAAAGGAAACUGAGUCUGACAGUG